AAAUCUGUGUUGGAGGAAGGCAUAGAAUGAGUGGAAAGCGGGUGGAAAAAAAUACAGUAAAGGGGCCCAACGGCUGCAAUGGACAUUUAUGAGAGCAAACUAAGCAACUAUAGUGCAGUGGGGAGGAGGGAAGAAAUGAGAGAAAAAGAGGGUCAGAUUAC
Long non-coding RNA from Perognathus longimembris pacificus (Pacific pocket mouse), 161 nucleotides. RefSeq lists it as uncharacterized. NCBI's taxonomy places the organism in Eukaryota, Metazoa, Chordata, Mammalia, Rodentia, Heteromyidae. The record is from RefSeq and is a predicted model, not a curated record. The transcript is spliced from 3 exons.